RNAcentral lists this ribosomal RNA (126 nucleotides) under Pyrinomonadaceae bacterium. Its description in RNAcentral is "partial 16S ribosomal RNA". It matches the Rfam family "Bacterial small subunit ribosomal RNA", at positions 1 to 122 of the family's 1533-position model. Lineage: Bacteria; Pseudomonadati; Acidobacteriota; Blastocatellia; Blastocatellales; Pyrinomonadaceae. The record is from RNAcentral.
UUUUAACGAGAGUUUGAUCCUGGCUCAGAAUCAACGCUGGCGGCGUGCCUCAGACAUGCAAGUCGAACGAUUAAAGCUCACUUCGGUGAGUGCAUAGAGUGGCGUACGGGAGAGUAACACGUAAGU